CCCUUAGAUGUUCUGGGCCGCACACGCGCUACACUGAAGGAGGCAGCGUGUACUCCUGGAUCGAAAGAUUUGGGUAACCCGCGAAUCUCCUUCGUGCUAGGGAUUGAGGUUUGCAAUUAUCCUUCAUGAACGAGGAAUUCCCAGUAAGUGCAAGUCAUAAGCUUGCGCUGACUACGUCCCUGCCCUUUGUACACACCGCCCGUCGCUACUAUCGAUUGAAUGAUCCGGUGAGGCCCCCGGAAUGGGAUCACUGCCUGGUUCUCCAGAAUGAGAUCCCGUGAAGCUGUCCAAACCUUAUCAUUUAGAGGAAGGAGAAGUCGUAACA
This 325-nucleotide ribosomal RNA is filed under the name uncultured eukaryote. Its description in RNAcentral is "partial 18S ribosomal RNA". It matches the Rfam family "Eukaryotic small subunit ribosomal RNA", at positions 1470 to 1796 of the family's 1831-position model. The record is from RNAcentral.